CACAAAGCAAGUUAAUCGACGUGGUUCUUGGGUCUCUGAGGAGGUUUCAGGACCUUGUCAAAGCAUUUGAUGAUAAAAAAUUAAUAAACGUAAAAUUAGAUUUCAACAGCCUCAAUCUUCUAUCUAAUGUUUGGAAGCACCUACUAAAAAUGCGAUAACUUUUUGAGAGAAAUACAAUUUUUCGAUGAAAAGAACUUGAUGAAUAAUAUCCGGGCUCCGCACUAAGCGAAGCAAUCAUAAUUACAAAAGUCUGUGCACUAAGGGGAAUUGCCGAGCCUAAGGUGUAUUUGGAAGCAAAAUAACAAUCACAUUUUAAUCGCUGCAUUACUUUGGCAGCAUUUAGGUUGAAUAAUAAUGCGGAAUAAUGAAAUAAAAUGUUCGGCAGCGCCAGAACUUGUAACUUCCUUAGUUGCUGAAUAAUUAUUUAAGCCCUACACAUGAGCGCAUACCUACAUAUAUGUACAUACGUACUAUCUCGAAAAAUUCACUACACUAAAAAGCUUUUGCACCUAGUUUGCAAGUCAGUGUUAUUUUGAGCCUACUGCAGUGGGUUAUUCCGGCCGAGAUCGUGAAAAAUUAAAAAAAAAAAAAAACAACAACUAAUUGUUACUAUUUUGCAUAACAAUAACUAAUUUUAACUGCAUAAGCGCCAUGCCUUACAACAUUGUAAAUAUUUGUGAAGUAUAUGUAUAAGGUAUUGACCAGUUUUGAGCCACUAAUUCGUUCUUUGUCAUAAGGACUGAUCAAUCAAUAGUGUUCAACUGGGAGUUAAAUAAUUACAAAUAAAAAAUAUUGCCUUAAAUAAUCACAUUUCAA
Long non-coding RNA from Bactrocera neohumeralis, 816 nucleotides. RefSeq lists it as uncharacterized. Lineage: Eukaryota; Metazoa; Arthropoda; Insecta; Diptera; Tephritidae. The transcript has 2 exons. The record is from RefSeq and is a predicted model, not a curated record.